GCACGCCGCGUGAGUGAUGAAGGUUUUCGGAUCGUAAAGCUCUGUUGUUAGGGAAGAACAAGUAUCUGUUGAAUAAGCAGGUACCUUGACGGUACCUAACCAGAAAGCCACGGCUAACUACGUGCCAGCAGCCGCGGUAAUACGUAGGUGGCAAGCGUUGUCCGGAAUUAUUGGGCGUAAAGCGCGCGCAGGCGGUUCCUUAAGUCUGAUGUGAAAGCCCACGGCUCAACCGUGGAGGGUCAUUGGAAACUGGGGAACUUGAGUGCAGAAGAGGAGAGCGGAAUUCCACGUGUAGCGGUGAAAUGCGUAGAGAUGUGGAGGAACACCAGUGGCGAAGGCGGCUCUCUGGUCUGUAACUGACGCUGAGGCGCGAAAGCGUGGGGAGCGAACAGGAUUAGAUACCCUGGUAGUCCACGCCGUAAACGAUGAGUGCUAAGUGUUAGAGGGUUUCCGCCCUUUAGUGCUGCAGCAAACGCAUUAAGCACUCCGCCUGGGGAGUACGGUCGCAAGACUGAAACUCAAAGGAAAUUGACGG
Molecule: ribosomal RNA, 535 nt
Filed under: Bacillus sp. MN03-06
Lineage: Bacteria; Bacillati; Bacillota; Bacilli; Caryophanales; Bacillaceae
Description: bacterial SSU rRNA
Rfam family: Bacterial small subunit ribosomal RNA
Source: RNAcentral